CAUGAAGCUGGAAUCGCUAGUAAUCGCGGAUCAGAAUGCCGCGGUGAAUACGUUCCCGGGUCUUGUACACACCGCCCGUCACACCAUGGGAGUCGGAAAUGCCCGAAGUCUGUGACCCAACCGCGAGGAGGGAGCAGCCGAAGGCAGGUCGGAUGACUGGGGUGAAGUCGUAACAAGGUAUC
Molecule: ribosomal RNA, 182 nt
Filed under: uncultured bacterium
Lineage: Bacteria
Description: partial 16S ribosomal RNA
Rfam family: Bacterial small subunit ribosomal RNA
Source: RNAcentral